This 187-nucleotide ribosomal RNA is filed under the name uncultured bacterium. RNAcentral describes it as "partial 16S ribosomal RNA". It matches the Rfam family "Bacterial small subunit ribosomal RNA", at positions 337 to 521 of the family's 1533-position model. The record is from RNAcentral.
UCCUACGGGAGGCAGCAGUGAGGAAUAUUGGACAAUGGGCGGGAGCCUGAUCCAGCCAUGCCGCGUGCAGGAAGACUGCCCUAUGGGUUGUAAACUGCUUUUGUACAGGAAGAAACACUCCCUCGUGAGGGAGCUUGACGGUACUGUAAGAAUAAGGAUCGGCUAACUCCGUGCCAGCAGCCGCGGU